Non-coding RNA from Paracoccidioides brasiliensis Pb18, 100 nucleotides. The record is from the annotation of a RefSeq genome assembly.
GCAUCAUUGGUCUAGUGGUAGAAUUCAUCGUUGCCAUUUACAUUCAAAACACCCUUGGGAUUCGAUGAGGCAGGCCCGCAUUCGAUUCGCGGAUGAUGCA